AUGGUUCCUCGGGAGCCUCGGGAACCAGAAGCAGAAGACAAGAAGAAGGAAAGAGUCGCAGCCGAUGAUCCUUUCACGUGGAUUACAUCGAACUUUGGUACUUGCCCUGAGGAUGCUAAUGAGGAUAUGGUCAAGACAUAUGCUCGUGUCUACAUGUGGUACGUGAUAUCCAGGACUAUGUUUGCUGAUGGCACAUGCAAGAAUGCUCCAUGGAUGUGGCUGAAGGCGUUGACCGUCUUCGAUAGCAAAUGGAGUUGGGGUUCGGCGACACUGGCUUACUUGUAUCGACAGGUAUGA
Molecule: ribosomal RNA, 297 nt
Filed under: Triticum aestivum (bread wheat)
Lineage: Eukaryota; Viridiplantae; Streptophyta; Magnoliopsida; Poales; Poaceae
Description: partial small subunit ribosomal RNA
Source: RNAcentral